GAUGAAGAACGCAGCGAAAUGCGAUAAGUAGUGUGAAUUGCAGAAUUCAGUGAAUCAUCGAAUCUUUGAACGCACAUUGCGCCCCUUGGUAUUCCAUGGGGCAUGCCUGUUCGAGCGUCAUCUACACCCUCAAGCUCUGCUUGGUGUUGGGCGUCUGUCCCGCCUCUGCGCGCGGACUCGCCCCAAAUUCAUUGGCAGCGGUCCUUGCCUCCUCUCGCGCAGCACAUUGCGCUUCUCGAGGUGCGCGGCCCGCGUCCACGAAGCAACAUUACCGUCUUUGACCUCGGAUCAGGUAGGGAUACCCGCUGAACUUAAGCAUAUCAAUAAGCGGAGA
Molecule: unclassified non-coding RNA, 334 nt
Filed under: soil metagenome
Description: partial contains 5.8S ribosomal RNA, internal transcribed spacer 2, and large subunit ribosomal RNA
Rfam family: 5.8S ribosomal RNA (bases 1-120)
Source: RNAcentral